This 491-nucleotide ribosomal RNA is filed under the name uncultured bacterium. RNAcentral's name for it is "partial 16S ribosomal RNA". It matches the Rfam family "Bacterial small subunit ribosomal RNA", at positions 29 to 506 of the family's 1533-position model. The record is from RNAcentral.
AGUGAACGCUGGCGGUAUGCCUAACACAUGCAAGUCGAACGAUAGCACAGUAAGAGCUUGCGCUUACGUGUGUCGAGUGUCGGACCGUGCAGGAAGACUUCGGAAUAUACUUUUUCGUGGGGGAUAACGUAGGGUAACUUACUCUAAUACCGCAUACAACCUACGUGUGAAAGCAGGGGAUCUUCUGACCUUGCGCGAUUGAAUAAGCCGAUGUCGGAUUAGCUAGUUGGCGGGGUAAAGGCCCACCAAGGCGACGAUCCGUAGCUGGUCUGAGAGGAUGAUCCGCCGCAGUGCAACGGAGACACGCUCCAGAAUACUACGGGAGGCACCACCGGGGCAUAUUGGACAAUGGGCGGAAGCCUGAAUCAGACAUAGCGCGUGGGUGAAGAAGGCCUUCGGGUUGUAAAGCAUUUUUGUCGGGAAAGAAAAGCAGCAGGUUACUCGCCCGCUGUACUGCCGGUACCCAAAGAAUAAGCACCGGCUAACCCCGU